UAGUUCGGAUUGUAGGCUGAAACUCGCCUACAUGAAGCUGGAAUUGCUAGUAAUCACAGGUCAGCAUACUGUGGUGAAUACGUUCCCGGGCCUUGUACACACCGCCCGUCACACCAUGAGAGUUGAGAAUACCCGAAGCCCAUGUCAAAGUGGUCGAAGGUAGGCUUGAUGAUUGGGGUGAAGUCGUAACAAGGUAUC
RNAcentral lists this ribosomal RNA (198 nucleotides) under uncultured bacterium. RNAcentral describes it as "partial 16S ribosomal RNA". It matches the Rfam family "Bacterial small subunit ribosomal RNA", at positions 1288 to 1500 of the family's 1533-position model. The record is from RNAcentral.